RNAcentral lists this ribosomal RNA (497 nucleotides) under uncultured bacterium. Its description in RNAcentral is "partial 16S ribosomal RNA". It matches the Rfam family "Bacterial small subunit ribosomal RNA", at positions 28 to 507 of the family's 1533-position model. The record is from RNAcentral.
GAUGAACGCUGGCGGCGUGCCUAAUACAUGCAAGUCGAGCGAACGGACGAGAAGCUUGCUUCUCUGAUGUUAGCGGCGGACGGGUGAGUAACACGUGGAUAACCUACCUAUAAGACUGGGAUAACUUCGGGAAACCGGAGCUAAUACCGGAUAAUAUUUUGAACCGCAUGGUUCAAAAGUGAAAGACGGUCUUGCUGUCACUUAUAGAUGGAUCCGCGCUGCAUUAGCUAGUUGGUAAGGUAACGGCUUACCAAGGCAACGAUGCAUAGCCGACCUGAGAGUGUGAUCGGCCACACUGGAACUGAGACACGGUCCAGACUCCUACGGGAGGCAGCAGUAGGGAAUCUUCCGCAAAGGGCGAAAGCCUGACGGAGCAACGCCGCGUGAGUGAUGAAGGUCUUCGGAUCGUAAAACUCUGUUAUUAGGGAAGAACAUAUGUGUAAGUAACUGUGCACAUCUUGACGGUACCUAAUCAGAAAGCCACGGCUAACUACGUG